This 467-nucleotide ribosomal RNA is filed under the name uncultured bacterium. Its description in RNAcentral is "partial 16S ribosomal RNA". It matches the Rfam family "Bacterial small subunit ribosomal RNA", at positions 28 to 507 of the family's 1533-position model. The record is from RNAcentral.
GACGAACGCUGGCGGCGUGCUUAACACAUGCAAGUCGAACGGAAAGGCCCUGCUUUUGUGGGGUGCUCGAGUGGCGAACGGGUGAGUAACACGUGAGUAACCUGCCCUUGACUUUGGGAUAACUUCAGGAAACUGGGGCUAAUACCGGAUAGGAGCUCCUGCUGCAUGGUGGGGGUUGGAAAGUUUCGGCGGUUGGGGAUGGACUCGCGGCUUAUCAGGUUGUUGGUGGGGUAGUGGCUUACCAAGGCUUUGACGGGUAGCCGGCCUGGGAGGGUGACCGGCCACAUUGGGACUGAGAUACGGCCCAGACUCCUACGGAGGCAGCAGUGGGGAAUAUUGCACAAUGGGCGGAAGCCUGAUGCAGCAACGCCGCGUGCGGGAUGACGGCCUUCGGGUUGUAAACCGCUUUCGCCUGUGACGAAGCGUGAGUGACGGUAAUGGGUAAAGAAGCACCGGCUAACUACGUG